Molecule: ribosomal RNA, 327 nt
Filed under: Liberonautes rubigimanus
Lineage: Eukaryota; Metazoa; Arthropoda; Malacostraca; Decapoda; Potamonautidae
Description: partial 12S ribosomal RNA
Source: RNAcentral
AAAUACUUUAAAUUUAAAGAAUUUGGCGGUAGUUUAGUCUUUUCAGAGGAACCUGCUCUUUUAUCGAUAAACCACGUAGAAUUUUACUUAUUUUAUUAAAGUUUGUAUACCAUCAUUAGCAGAUAAUUUUAUAAAAGAUAAUUAUUAGGGUUAAUUAAAUUAAAAAAAUUAGAUCAAGGUGCAGCUGAUAAAUAAGUUAGAGUGGGUUACAAUAAUUUUUAUUUAUAUGGAAUAGAUUAGUAAGAUUGGUUUAGGAAGGUGGAUUUGAUUGUAAUAUAAAUUUAAUAAGUUUAUAAGAUAUUAGCUCUAAAUUAUGUACACAUCGCC